UCCGGGGUAGCUCAGUGGUAGAGCGGGCGAUUGUUAAUCGUCUGGUCGUAGGUUCGAUCCCUGCCCCCGGAGCCA
RNAcentral lists this transfer RNA (75 nucleotides) under marine sediment metagenome. RNAcentral describes it as "tRNA-Asn". It matches the Rfam family "tRNA". Rfam says of the family: Transfer RNA (tRNA) molecules are approximately 80 nucleotides in length. Their secondary structure includes four short double-helical elements and three loops (D, anti-codon, and T loops). The record is from RNAcentral.